RNAcentral lists this ribosomal RNA (204 nucleotides) under Lodderomyces orthopsilosis. RNAcentral's name for it is "Candida orthopsilosis partial 28S ribosomal RNA". It matches the Rfam family "Eukaryotic large subunit ribosomal RNA", at positions 1 to 199 of the family's 3401-position model. The record is from RNAcentral. Lineage: Eukaryota; Fungi; Ascomycota; Pichiomycetes; Serinales; Debaryomycetaceae.
UUCGACCUCAAAUCAGGUAGGACUACCCGCUGAACUUAAGCAUAUCAAUAAGCGGAGGAAAAGAAACCAACAGGGAUUGCCUUAGUAGCGGCGAGUGAAGCGGCAAAAGCUCAAAUUUGAAAUCUGGCACUUUCAGUGUCCGAGUUGUAAUUUGAAGAAGGUAUCUUUGGGUCUGGCUCUUUGUUCUGAGUUUCGUGGGAAUAG